CAGUCGCCGCGGUAAUACGGAGGGAGCUAGCGUUGUUCGGAAUUACUGGGCGUAAAGCGCGCGUAGGCGGUUACUCAAGUCAGAGGUGAAAGCCCGGGGCUCAACCCCGGAACUGCCUUUGAAACUAGGUGACUAGAAUCUUGGAGAGGUCAGUGGAAUUCCGAGUGUAGAGGUGAAAUUCAUAGAUAUUCGGAAGAACACCAGUGGCGAAGGCGACUGACUGGACAAGUAUUGACGCUGAGGUGCGAAAGCGUGGGGAGCAAACAGGAUUAGAUACCCCGGUAGUCCCUGUCUCUUAUAC
Molecule: ribosomal RNA, 301 nt
Filed under: uncultured bacterium
Lineage: Bacteria
Description: partial 16S ribosomal RNA
Rfam family: Bacterial small subunit ribosomal RNA
Source: RNAcentral